RNAcentral lists this ribosomal RNA (253 nucleotides) under uncultured bacterium. Its description in RNAcentral is "partial 16S ribosomal RNA". It matches the Rfam family "Bacterial small subunit ribosomal RNA", at positions 524 to 776 of the family's 1533-position model. The record is from RNAcentral.
UACGGGGGGGGUAAGCGUUGUUCGGAAUUACUGGGCGUAAAGGGCUCGUAGGCGGCCAACUAAGUCAGACGUGAAAUCCCUCAGCUUAACUGGGGAACUGCGUCUGAUACUGGAUGGCUUGAAUCCGGGAGAGGGAUGCAGAAUUCCAGGUGUAGCGGUGAAAUGCGUAGAUAUCUGGAGGAAUACCGGUGGCGAAGGCGGCAUCCUGGACCGGCAUUGACGCUGAGGAGCGAAAGCUAGGGGAGCAAACGGG